AGCGAACGCUGGCGGCAGGCUUAACACAUGCAAGUCGAGCGGGCACUUUCGGGUGUCAGCGGCGGACGGGUGAGUAACGCGUGGGAACGUGCCCUCUGGUUCGGAAUAACUCAGGGAAACUUGAGCUAAUACCGGAUACGCCCUUUUGGGGAAAGGCUUGCUGCCGGAGGAUCGGCCCGCGUCUGAUUAGCUAGUUGGUGAGGUAACGGCUCACCAAGGCGACGAUCAGUAGCCGGUCUGAGAGGAUGAUCAGCCACACUGGGACUGAGACACGGCCCAGACUCCUACGGGAGGCAGCAGUGGGGAAUAUUGGGCAAUGGGCGCAAGCCUGAUCCAGCCAUGCCGCGUGAGUGAUGAAGGCCUUAGGGUUGUAAAGCUCUUUUAUCCGGGACGAUAAUGACGGUACCGGAGGAAUAAGCCCCGGCUAACUUCGUG
Molecule: ribosomal RNA, 435 nt
Filed under: uncultured bacterium
Lineage: Bacteria
Description: partial 16S ribosomal RNA
Rfam family: Bacterial small subunit ribosomal RNA
Source: RNAcentral